Non-coding RNA from Cinara cedri, 332 nucleotides. The record is from the annotation of a GenBank genome assembly. Lineage: Eukaryota; Metazoa; Arthropoda; Insecta; Hemiptera; Aphididae.
UAUCUAUGCAAAUGUUUUAAGAAGAAUUAGCCUCUAUAUAAUAUACAAACAACCUGCACGCUGUUCGCUGAAUUCGCACUAUCCACGAACCCCAAUGAAACUUUUUGAAAACCUAAUAAACACACGCGGACGGACAAUUACUUAUAAAAUCUUCCCCUUUGCUUUUAUCCCAUGCGCAAACUCAGGAGUAGUCGACUGACUACACUCUGCGAGUUUUACUAUCUACGAUAUUAUCGUGUGUGGUUUUUUCCCCCCUGUUUGUUCACGCGAUCUUAGUUAUAAUAUUAAAUCUUUGAGUUAUAACUGUUAUGAUGUAAUCCUAUUUUUUUCUA